AGUGAACGCUGGCGGUAGGCCUAACACAUGCAAGUCGAACGGCAGCACAGGAGAGCUUGCUCUCUGGGUGGCGAGUGGCGGACGGGUGAGGAAUACAUCGGAAUCUACUCUGUCGUGGGGGAUAACGUAGGGAAACUUACGCUAAUACCGCAUACGACCUACGGGCGAAAGCAGGGGACCUUCGUGCCUUGCGCGAUUGAAUGAGCCGAUGUCGGAUUAGCUAGUGGGCGGGGUAAAGGCCCACCAAGGCGACGAGCCGUAGCUGGUCUGAGAGGAUGAUCAGCCACACUGGAACUGAGACACGGUCCAGACUCCUACGGGAGGCAGCAGUGGGGAAUAUUGGACAAUGGGCGCAAGCCUGAUCCAGCCAUACCGCGUGGGUGAAGAAGGCCUUCGGGUUGUAAAGCCCUUUUGUUGGGAAAGAAAUCCAGCUGGCUAAUACCCGGUUGGGAUGACGGUACCCAAAGAAUAAGCACCGGCUAACUUCGUGCCAGCCGCCGCAGUAA
This 506-nucleotide ribosomal RNA is filed under the name uncultured bacterium. RNAcentral's name for it is "partial 16S ribosomal RNA". It matches the Rfam family "Bacterial small subunit ribosomal RNA", at positions 29 to 523 of the family's 1533-position model. The record is from RNAcentral.